This 86-nucleotide ribosomal RNA is filed under the name Pseudomonas aeruginosa. RNAcentral also lists the same sequence under 1 other name. Lineage: Bacteria; Pseudomonadati; Pseudomonadota; Gammaproteobacteria; Pseudomonadales; Pseudomonadaceae. The record is from RNAcentral.
CUUGACGAUCAUAGAGCGUUGGAACCACCUGAUCCCUUCCCGAACUCAGAAGUGAAACGACGCAUCGCCGAUGGUAGUGUGGGGUC